GCGGGUAUGGCGGAAUUGGAAGACGUGCGGGAUUUAGGUUCCCGCGCCGUAAGGCGUGUGAGUUCGAUCCUCACUACCCGUACCA
This 85-nucleotide transfer RNA is filed under the name Flavonifractor sp. An4. Its description in RNAcentral is "tRNA-Leu". It matches the Rfam family "tRNA". From Rfam's summary of the family: Transfer RNA (tRNA) molecules are approximately 80 nucleotides in length. Their secondary structure includes four short double-helical elements and three loops (D, anti-codon, and T loops). Further hydrogen bonds mediate the characteristic L-shaped molecular structure. tRNAs have two regions of fundamental functional importance: the anti-codon, which is responsible for specific mRNA codon recognition, and the 3' end, to which the tRNAs corresponding amino acid is attached (by aminoacyl-tRNA synthetases). tRNAs cope with the degeneracy of the genetic code in two manners: having more than one tRNA (with a specific anti-codon) for a particular amino acid; and 'wobble' base-pairing, i.e. permitting non-standard base-pairing at the 3rd anti-codon position. Lineage: Bacteria; Bacillati; Bacillota; Clostridia; Eubacteriales; Oscillospiraceae. The record is from RNAcentral.